This 889-nucleotide ribosomal RNA is filed under the name Lactiplantibacillus plantarum. RNAcentral's name for it is "bacterial SSU rRNA". It matches the Rfam family "Bacterial small subunit ribosomal RNA", at positions 202 to 1083 of the family's 1533-position model. The record is from RNAcentral. Lineage: Bacteria; Bacillati; Bacillota; Bacilli; Lactobacillales; Lactobacillaceae.
GGCUUCGGCUAUCACUUUUGGAUGGUCCCGCGGCGUAUUAGCUAGAUGGUGGGGUAACGGCUCACCAUGGCAAUGAUACGUAGCCGACCUGAGAGGGUAAUCGGCCACAUUGGGACUGAGACAACGGCCCAAACUCCUACGGGAGGCAGCAGUAGGGAAUCUUCCACAAUGGACGAAAGUCUGAUGGAGCAACGCCGCGUGAGUGAAGAAGGGUUUCGGCUCGUAAAACUCUGUUGUUAAAGAAGAACAUAUCUGAGAGUAACUGUUCAGGUAUUGACGGUAUUUAACCAGAAAGCCACGGCUAACUACGUGCCAGCAGCCGCGGUAAUACGUAGGUGGCAAGCGUUGUCCGGAUUUAUUGGGCGUAAAGCGAGCGCAGGCGGUUUUUUAAGUCUGAUGUGAAAGCCUUCGGCUCAACCGAAGAAGUGCAUCGGAAACUGGGAAACUUGAGUGCAGAAGAUGGACAGUGGAACUCCAUGUGUAGCGGUGAAAUGCGUAGAUAUAUGGAAGAACACCAGUGGCGAAGGCGGCUGUCUGGUCUGUAACUGACGCUGAGGCUCGAAAGUAUGGGUAGCAAACAGGAUUAGAUACCCUGGUAGUCCAUACCGUAAACGAUGAAUGCUAAGUGUUGGAGGGUUUCCGCCCUUCAGUGCUGCAGCUAACGCAUUAAGCAUUCCGCCUGGGGAGUACGGCCGCAAGGCUGAAACUCAAAGGAAUUGACGGGGGCCCGCACAAGCGGUGGAGCAUGUGGUUUAAUUCGAAGCUACGCGAAGAACCUUACCAGGUCUUGACAUACUAUGCAAUCUAAGAGAUUAGACGUUCCCUUCGGGGACAUGGAUACAGGUGGUGCAUGGUUGUCGUCAGCUCGUGUCGUGAGAUGUUGGGUUAA